Molecule: long non-coding RNA, 1660 nt
Organism: Temnothorax curvispinosus
Lineage: Eukaryota; Metazoa; Arthropoda; Insecta; Hymenoptera; Formicidae
Exons: 4
Source: RefSeq, a predicted model, not a curated record
UUUAUUUAAAUAUUCAAAUAAAAAGAUUUUUUAUUUUUUAUUUGUAUAGCCGAAGCGAGACAUUCACAGUCUGUCCAGCCGUUACAGUUAUUAUCGCAGAGUACUUCACAGAGACAAAAAAAAUGCUAAAACCUAAAAAUGAUGAUUCUGAUACUACCGAAAGUGAAUGUGAUGAUAAGGAAAAUACUUUCAGCGACAGUGGAUCUAAUAAUAGCAACGACACUUUUGAUUUUAAAAAGCAAUUAAGAAAUCAAACAAAAAAAACGGAAGAUAAAGUAGAAACCAUAAACUAUCACAGGAAAGCUGAAAAAGUAGAUGAUGGAGUCGACAAUCUCUUAGCUGACGAAAGUGACCUUUUUGGUCACUAAAGAUUGGCCUGGAGAGAAAGUACGCAAAAUAGUAGUAGUAGCGUAUCUAAUUUCACCGUGAUCUCAGCAUCCGUACAUUUGCGCUAACCGAAAAAAUGCAAAAUUUUCAGUUUUGCACGUGUUCGAUGAUGUCAUCGUGAGACAUGUUACGGCAUGUUCUUGAAAACAAUAUCAUGUCAUUGGCGAAAAUUCAAAAUUUUUUUAAAAGGGAUUUCGUCACCAUGCCUACAGCAGUCGUAUAUCGGCGCGCUAUUUGAAAAAGCAGCACUUGUAGUUUUGUGAACGUUUGAUGAAAUCAUCAAUUAUCGGGGACGUCGCGAUAUGUCUUUGAAAAAAGCUUUUACCAUGAAGAUAAUGGAUCUGUAUCUUGGCGAGUGGACCAUUCUUUGGCUACAUCUCGCACGCGAACGUGGUUCUUGAGUGUUACAAGGACUUGUGUUGUUCGAGUUUGAAAAAAUACGAAAUGAAACCGCCGAUACAACCCAUAAAUAUUAGGUUGUUGGACGGGGUUCUGCCUCGGGAGUAUCCCGAGACAUACGAUAAUCUUAUACAUGGUUUCUGCAUCAUCGGGCUCGAGCCCUGCUACGUGGGACGGAGAUCUCCACGUAUGCGCUUAUGUCAGCGGUGCUAUGUGCUGACGUUUAACCCUCAGUUGCGUGAAUUUGAAAGAAAAGUGCGAUGGCACGGCAUUUCGUCGCGGUUGCAUGGGUUCCCAAUCCGUAUUAAAACAAUGUGCUUUAUGUGUAGAAAAAUAAUCAUGCGUAUAAGGACUGCCGAUGAGUGCCGCGAGUGUAUUGAAGCGUAUUUAAACAAUGAAAGAGAGUUUGCGAGAUUCAAUAGAUGGGGUAAAAUCUACGAGAUAGAGCUUCAUGAAUGAGAUUAGUAUGUGAUUAUGAGAGUGAACAGCUCUGUAUUGUGUGUAAUUUAUUGUAGUAGUAUAAUGCUGGUUGAGAGUGAAAAUGAGUGAGUUAGUAGAAUUAGAGAAUAGAUUUAGAAGUUAGAGAAUUAGAAGUUAGAGAAUAUGGAUGAGUUUUAUAUAUAUAGUAAGAGAUGACUAUUGUAUAUUGUAUUAUUGAUGUUCUGUAUGUUGUUGGGUAUACUGUGCUUGUCAUACCCAUGUGUGUUGCGUCGAUGCAUUGGCGGCGUGCGCAAAGAGCGGAAAAAUUACGUUUAAGUUUAAACGCUUAUGUCUUAUGUCGAGAUUAUUGUGUGCAAUCGGUAGAUAGUUCUGUACUGCUAAUAAACUACUACAAUAAACUAUUCUAAAGAACCUUUGGUCACAAUUUAUACUA